Arabidopsis lyrata subsp. lyrata is the source of this 701-nucleotide long non-coding RNA. RefSeq lists it as uncharacterized. NCBI's taxonomy places the organism in Eukaryota, Viridiplantae, Streptophyta, Magnoliopsida, Brassicales, Brassicaceae. The transcript has 2 exons. The record is from RefSeq and is a predicted model, not a curated record.
GUUCCGAUCAAACCGAACCGAUCAAACCGAGAUAUUCGGUUUGCGGCACCAAAUUUUAGAAGGGAAGUAAACCGAUCAGUAAGAUUAUUUUGGGAUUUCGGAAUUCGGGUUACUCGGUUCGGUAAUCGGUUACCGAUCGGUUUAUUUGGUUUAGGGGAACAAGAUAUAAAAACUAAAAACCCUAACCUAAUUCAUUUCAUCAAUACUAUCUAAUCUCUUUGGCGAGCCUCCUUCCACUCUCCUCUCUCCUUUUACGAUCUUGUUCUUCUUUCUUCUUCUCCUUCCUUCUUUUCUAUAUACUCUUCUGCAUCUUGAUCUUCUUCGUUUUCGUCUUUCUCCUCAUCUUCUCUUUGUUUCUUCUAAAUCAUAAGUUUUGAUAGGCACUCAACAACGAUAACUACUACCAAGAAUUUCCCUCAACCAAUCCGCCGUCGAUGAACUUACUGACAUAAGUGAUAUUGCGAGAGACAGACUCAUCCUCGUUCAACACAACCUCGAUUAAAGCUAGAAUAAGACAGUCGGAGCUUACCGUCGCUGAGACCGCCGCGCACAGUCGAUCAUGCAGCCACACUUAUUUUUGUCAAAACCCUAAUAUUUUAUUGGGUUGGGCUAUAAACUGUAUGUUGGGUUUUUGUUAAAUGUAUAUUGGGCUUUUUAUCUAAUUUGUAAUGGUUUUUUUAAUUGGAUUUGUAAUAGUGCAA